GAAAAAUUUAGCUAUUAUUAUUGCUGCUGGUGUGUUUGGUGCUGCUGCUUCUCUGUUGUUGGGCUUUGGGGCUUGGUAUUGGUAUUUUACCAAGGCGGGGAAAAGGAGGAAGAUGGGGUAUGGAUUAGGGAGAGUUGACUCGGAAAGGUGGGCGGAUAAGUUGAGGGCUCAUAGGCUUACUCAGGUUACGUUGUUUAAGAAACCGCUUGUGAAGGUUAAGUUGGCGGAUUUGAUGGCUGCCACUAACAAUUUUAGUUCGUCGACUGUGAUAAACUCGACUAGGACGGGGACUACGUUUAGAGCUGUUCUGCGUGAUGGUUCUGCGCUUGCUAUUAAACGGCUUAAAGCUUACAAGCUAAGUGAGAAGUUGUUUCGAAUGGAGAUGAAUGGGCUAGGACAAGUUCGGCAUCCUAAUUUGGUGCCACUUUUGGGCUUUUGUGUUGUUGAGGAGGAAAAGCUUUUGGUUUAUAAGCACCUGUCAAAUGGUACUUUGUAUUCAUUAUUGAAAGGGAACACAAGUAUGUUGGAUUGGCCUACUAGGUUUAAGAUUGGCUUGGGUGCUGCAAGGGGCCUUGCUUGGC
This 581-nucleotide unclassified non-coding RNA is filed under the name Hevea brasiliensis (rubber tree). The record is from RNAcentral. Lineage: Eukaryota; Viridiplantae; Streptophyta; Magnoliopsida; Malpighiales; Euphorbiaceae.